This 102-nucleotide small RNA is filed under the name Paenibacillus pectinilyticus. RNAcentral describes it as "Guanidine-I sequence". It matches the Rfam family "Guanidine-I riboswitch aptamer". Rfam says of the family: This family represents a conserved RNA structure found upstream of the ykkC and yxkD genes in Bacillus subtilis and related genes in other bacteria. The function of this family is unclear although it has been suggested that it may function to switch on efflux pumps and detoxification systems in response to harmful environmental molecules. Nelson showed that this riboswitch senses and responds to guanidine and it was renamed Guanidine-I riboswitch. Lineage: Bacteria; Bacillati; Bacillota; Bacilli; Caryophanales; Paenibacillaceae. The record is from Rfam by way of RNAcentral.
CAAGUUGUUUUCUAGGGUUCCGCGGUGCAGGAUGCCGGCUGGUCCGAGAGAAAACACACAGCGGAUACGCUGUGGUCACGGAGGGAGAAAAGCCCGGGAGUC